AUUCUUAAGAUCUAUAUUUGUUUGCCUCAAUUCCUCUACUCAUUAAUUUUUGAAAGGAUUAUUUUAUCCAGAUCUCUAAGAGUAUUUUUGUCAUUAUUUGUGUAGAAUUUUGACUACACAGUUGACCAAUAUUUUUGUGGAAUUGUUUAAUUAUCAUCAGCUGACCCAUUUCCGUAAAAAGUACUGAUUUAUUUACCACCACUAAUAGCAAGAUUAUUGUUUUUGCUUUCUAUCAUUGCCAUAGGUGUCAAUACAAUAAUUUUUUUAUGGUUUGUUUGAAAUUUUCAAAAAUUGUGGCCCAGUAAUUAACUGUGGCCCAAUAACUAACUGAGGCCCAAUUAGUUAGGAAUUACAUCAGUAUUAGUUCUUUGAUAUUGUUUUUGCUUUCUAGCAUUACCGUAGGUGUCAAUAGCAUACUUUUUUUUUUAUCGUUUGUUUGAAAUUUCCAAAAAAUUAUGGCCCAACAAUUAACUGAGGCCCAAUUUUUUGGUUAUAUAUAAUCAACAAAACCCUAAUUUGGCAGAACCCUA
This 530-nucleotide long non-coding RNA is filed under the name Trifolium pratense (red clover). RNAcentral's name for it is "long non-coding RNA (TPRA_LNC011125)". Lineage: Eukaryota; Viridiplantae; Streptophyta; Magnoliopsida; Fabales; Fabaceae. The record is from RNAcentral.